CAGUAGCCACGGUAAUACGAAGGGGGCUAGCGUUGUUCGGAUUUACUGGGCGUAAAGCGCACGUAGGCGGACUUUUAAGUCAGGGGUGAAAUCCCGGAGCUCAACCCCGGAACUGCCUUUGAUACUGGAAGUCUUGAGUAUGGUAGAGGUGAGUGGAAUUCCGAGUGUAGAGGUGAAAUUCGUAGAUAUUCGGAGGAACACCAGUGGCGAAGGCGGCUCACUGGACCAUUACUGACGCUGAGGUGCGAAAGCGUGGGGAGCAAACAGGAUUAGAUACCCCCGUAGUCCCUGUCUCUUAUAC
RNAcentral lists this ribosomal RNA (301 nucleotides) under uncultured bacterium. RNAcentral describes it as "partial 16S ribosomal RNA". It matches the Rfam family "Bacterial small subunit ribosomal RNA", at positions 509 to 807 of the family's 1533-position model. The record is from RNAcentral.